GGAUCCCUGGCGUAACGGUAGCGCGUUCGACUCCAGAUCGAAAGGUUAUCCGUUAAAAGCGGGUGGGGUUCA
Schizothecium vesticola is the source of this 72-nucleotide non-coding RNA. NCBI's taxonomy places the organism in Eukaryota, Fungi, Ascomycota, Sordariomycetes, Sordariales, Schizotheciaceae. The record is from the annotation of a GenBank genome assembly.